UGGGGGAGGAGGAAGCGGGGCUAGGGCAGAUCCGGGAGAGACAUCCUGGAAGCAUCCGUCGGGAAGCCUUCCUGGAGAAGGUCAUGUUUAGAAUGAGUCUUGAAAGAAAAGUGGGAACUUGCUCAGCAAAGGAAGGAGCACAGGGCGUUUAGCAGGGAGAGCAGCUGUGAGACUUUGGAAACAAAUCAUUUAACCUCCCGGAGCCUUGGUUCCCCACUCUGAAGAAUCCUACCUCACCACUGAAGAAGAUAAUAUACGCAAAGUACGGUGCCUGGCCUGUAGCAGUUUCUGUAGAUGUCUUGACUGUUGGCUUGAGUCCUUAAGUUACCCAGCCCGUUUUCAAAGAUCUGCAAAAUAAUUUUAAAAGCUGAUGGUAUUUUCCACCACGAAGAAAAUCUCAAUAGUUUUGAAAAUACAGACGUCAUAUGGGCCACCAUUCUGUUCACAAUAUAUUAAGCUAGAAAUUAAUGUUAGAAAUCAAAUAUCUGAAAUAUUCCAAAAUAGCUUUUGGAUGAAGGGGGAAAUCAAGAAUAAAGUGCCAAUUUAGAAAAUAAUACAAAUAAGAACUGCACUUAUGAAAACCGAUGGUAUAUAUGCAAGCUUUACUCAAAAUUUCAUUUAGCGAUGAAUUGUAUAUGUAAAAAUGUUGAAAUGGCAAAUGUUUUGUUAUCUAUAUUUUUAUCACGAUAAAACAAUUUUUAAAUAAAAAAUUUAUUUAGAUUUUAAAAUGGUUUUAUCAUUAAACCUAGAAAAAGUUAAAUAAAAUGAUGAUUUAUUAGACAAUUUAGAAAUAUGAAAACACAAAACCCCAAAUAAAGACGAGGAAGGAAGAAAUAAGGGAAAAAGCAGGAAAGAAUAUAAAAAAGAAGAACAGUGGAGUUAAUACAUAGGUUCCUGAACUGGUUCUUUUUAUCAAAAUAAGGUUGGAAUAAUCCGACAGACAAAUUUAAUGAAGAAAACAAACAAAAAGAAGCGCGCACAGUUUACGGUGAAAUGGUGGAUGUGAUGACAGAAAUAGAGAGGCUUACAAAACAGGAAAGUAGGGAAGGAUAUCAUGUGAAACUGCUGACGACUUUGAAAUAUCAACGCAAAAGAUAAUUUUCUGAAAAAAAAUUAAAAAAUGAAGAAGUUUCUAUGUUUGACAGAGUCGGAAGUAGAAAAUUGAAACCACCUGCUUUAGUGUCUGCUCAAAAGCACUGUGGACAGAGGCUGCCCUGACCAGCUUCUAAAGCACUGCCUCUCUACCCCCUGCUCUGGUUCGUAUUUCUCUGCAGCACUUCCCAGCAUCUGACGUAACUUAUGCCUAAUUGUUUACUUGUUUCCCUUCUUCCCUCCCCACUAGAAAAUGAGCCUCCUGAGAAGACAGGACUUUGCUUUUUUUUUUUUUUUUUAAUUCAAAGUUUUUAUUUUGAGAUAAUUGUAUUUUUUAAAAAAUUAAAUGUUUUAUUUUAAGACAAUUGUAAGAGAACGUUGUUUUGUUCACUGCUGUAUCCCUAUUACCUGGAAUUGGGCCUGGCACAUAUUAGGUACUUUCAAUAAAUACUAGUUUAAUCAUUAAAUGAAUUGAGGGAAAAUUUAAGAAAGUUAUCAAGAACAUUGUUCCCCAAAAUCUCUGAGUCCAGAUGGUUUUACUGGGAAGAAGAGGGGUCAUCUUUUAAAGUUUUAAGGCAUGGUAACCCCAUGUUAUAUAAAUUAAUCCAGAAUAUAGCAUUAUAUAGUCUACACAUUUUUUUUUCCUGAGGGAUAUAAGAGAAGACCUGAUAUAAGAGAAUACUCCAUGCCUUGGUUCAAGGCUAAAUAAUGUAAAUAUAGAAAGAAUAAGUUAAUUUACAGGCAUAGUACAAAUCCAAAUCUGAAUUUUUUUCAAAGCUUUAGUAAAAGAUUAUAAAAUUCAUUUAGCAGAAAAAAGAGAUAGAACUUCAAAGAAAAUUUUGUAAAAUAAGAAUCAGGAUGGAGGGAACAGACCUUCUAGAUAUAAAACACAUUAGAAAGUUAUGAUAUUUAAAAUAGUAUGAUAUUAAGGCAAAAAUACGUAGUUGUUUUAGUAGAUUAAAAUGGGUAGCUCAAAAUGAGGCAAUGACACACAUACUAUUUUAAUAUGUAAUAAAGUAACCAUCACAAGCGAAAAGAAGGGCUAUUUUAAAAAUUACUUUGGGAAUGGAUAAACAAAACAUGGUAUAGACAUACAAUGGAAUAUUAAUCAGCCACAAAGAGAAAUGAAGUUCUGAUACUUGCUACGACAAGAAUGUACCUUGAAAACAUUAUGCUGAAUGAAGUAAGUCAGUUACAAAGGGACAUAUAUAGUAUGAUCUCACUUAUAUGAAAUGUCUAGAGUAGACAAAUGUAUAGAGACCAACAUGCAUUAGUGAUUACCAGGGGUGGGGUUUUUUAAAGUUUUAAGGCAUGGUAACUCCAUGGUACAUAAAUUAAUCCAGCAUGUAGCAUUUUAUAUGUGAAGAAAACUACAAUUUUUUUUUUUUCCCU
Molecule: long non-coding RNA, 2484 nt
Organism: Trichechus manatus latirostris (Florida manatee)
Lineage: Eukaryota; Metazoa; Chordata; Mammalia; Sirenia; Trichechidae
Exons: 3
Source: RefSeq, a predicted model, not a curated record